This is a long non-coding RNA of Anolis carolinensis (green anole), 1574 nucleotides long. RefSeq lists it as uncharacterized. The record is from RefSeq and is a predicted model, not a curated record. The transcript is spliced from 6 exons. NCBI's taxonomy places the organism in Eukaryota, Metazoa, Chordata, Lepidosauria, Squamata, Anolidae.
AGUUUAGCCUUUUUGCAAGUCUUUGCUGCUUGCAGCCUGCAAAUGUAUCAUUUUGUUCUGGAGACCGCCCCUUUUCCUGGGGAUAGAAGGCUCCAUUUUGAGAAGCCUAUUCUGCCUUCUAGACUAAAGGAGAAGCAACAUAGAUGUGCUUGUGUGGCCAAGCCAGGCCAACUCUGAAAAGGCCAUCCCGCACUGGCGACGAAGGUGAGAUUGUGAGGAAGACCUCCCCAGCAGAACUCAGAGCCGAGGCAGACUCCCAGGAGAAGAUGUGGUCAGGCAAAUAGGCUGAACCCAAGUCAUGCAAGGCUUUAUAGGUGUGCCUCACAGGCUGGACUUUCAAUCUUAUGAGAGUGGUGCUUGAUGGGGUGAAGCAGAAGGUUGAGAAAAGCUGCUGGAAUUAGGCAUAUGAUGCAACAGGCACCUAAGUUGGUACUAUGCAGAUGGCACACACUUGCUCCAAUUAGUCACCAUCAGUUCACCACAAAUGUGCCACAUGAUGAUUGCCUACUUCUGGAUCAGUCAAGUAACAGUGUGGAGGAAUGUGGACUAAAUACAUAUUUUCUGAAAACAUUCUCUUGAUGCUGUCUCCUUCCAAAGAUAUAUACAUUCACUGGCUCGCAGAAAAGAAUUAUAAAAAGCAUAUGACGGCUUUACAGACUAUUGCAAUUUGCAAGCUGUUUAGAGAAAAGAAAGGCUGCUUACUCUAUGUGUUCUUGAGUGUAUUCCUUUCCAGAAAAAAAAAUCUUCAUGAAAAGUGCCUUGGAAAACCCUAUGGGCUAGGAGGCCAUACAAAAUAAAUACUGGCAAAUUAACUGGCAAGCGGACAGCCUGAACUGAGAACAUAGCAUAUUGCUAAAAGCUACAACAGCUCUCAUCCUACUAGGGUCCUAAUCCAGAUCAUCCCCUUUGGAUUUAUUUGAAGUAAAAAAAGUAGUUAAACAAGCAGGUUGUUUCUUAAUUAUAAAUGAAGCCAUAUUACAUUCUUCCAAAUCUUUUAAUAGAACUAUCCUGUGGUUGCGGGCUAUGGACAAAAUUGAGGGAAGUGAUGCAAUUUAAGUGCCCAUUUAACAUCAUGUACUUCCUCAUUUGGAAAAACAAUUGUUCAUUACAGGAAAUGCUAAACUUUGAGUGUAAGAUGUAAUAUAAAUAAAGAAACACAAGCACUAAGAGCAGAUUCAUUGCUACAAGCAAAGUUGCAAGCAUGCUGGCCAGGAAUUGCAUGCCAUCCAAUAUGGUAAAUAAAGUCACACACAUAUUCCCUGAAAAGCCCAUAACAUAGUAAUAAGAAGGUAUGCAGCUCUUUCAUUUGAACAGCUUAUUUAGAAACAGCACAGGCUAACAAUACAAUUAAAGCUGGCUAAAACAAAAAGUAAAAGAAAGUAUCUGCCAAGCACAGCUGAAGGACAUAAUGCUUGCUUUACUGAAAAAUACUUACCAUGCUUGUUACCUGGGUGUAACAAUAAAGAGUUUGUUAAAAGGCUUCUAUAUGGGUGCAAUUUAUCAGAAAAAUAUGCUACAGCACAAUUAAAAAUGGAAGAGUUUCUUGCUAAUUUAAGACGGGUUAGGAAUUUUCA